AAGUCGUAACAAGGUCUCCGUAGGUGAACCUGCGGAGGGAUCAUUACCGAGUGAGGGCCCCCGGCCCGACCUCCCACCCCAUGUAUUUCGACUCUGUUGCCUCGGGGGCGACCCGGCCUUCGGGCGUCGGGGCCCCCGGUGGACUGUAUAACCCUGCAUCCAUGCGUCCGAGUAACAAAUGAAUCAAUCAAAACUUUCAACAACGGAUCUCUUGGUUCUG
This 220-nucleotide unclassified non-coding RNA is filed under the name Catenulostroma sp. Its description in RNAcentral is "partial contains small subunit ribosomal RNA, internal transcribed spacer 1, and 5.8S ribosomal RNA". The stretch from base 1 to 46 matches the Rfam family "Eukaryotic small subunit ribosomal RNA", at positions 1786 to 1831 of the family's 1831-position model. Lineage: Eukaryota; Fungi; Ascomycota; Dothideomycetes; Mycosphaerellales; Teratosphaeriaceae. The record is from RNAcentral.